AAAGAUCGAAUGGGGAGAUUCAACGACAACGAGGCUGGCUUCCGUAGACGUGCGAUACCCCGAAUGGUUCCUUCGUGGUUCCAAUGCGAGGGCACACCGUUUACGGCAAAUGUUCCGGCUACGUAGUUGUGCACUUCUCCCUUGGUAGAACGUCGCGACCCGUUGCGUGUCGGUCUACGGCACGAGUUUGUUGCCUGUCGUGUCGCCCUGGUGCGUUACACGGCAGACGCUCGAACGCCCGGCCGGCUGCGCGACGGUACGCUAUACGACGGUAUAGGGCCGCGAACCAAUCCAUUUUUUCGAAUGUGUGUGCGUCAGGCCCGCCGCAAGCUCGAUUAGUUCGUAUAAGACCCGGUGGUACGGACCUGGUGCCGGCUCCGGGCCUAAUCAGCUGUUAGCAGUGCGGUGUCCUCGGACUGGCCAAGCUUUUAGAAUUACCGGUCAGCGACGCUACUGCUUUGGGUCCUCUCAGGACCCGUCUUGAAACACGGACCAAGGAGUCUAACAUGUGCGCGAGUCACUGGGACUUGUAAACCUAAAGGCGUAAUGAAAGUAAAAGUUGACCUUUGCGUCGACCUAGGGAGGAUGGGCCGCGUCACGAUGCGGCCUCGCACUCCCGGGGCGUCUCGUUCUCAUUGCGAGGAGAG
This 647-nucleotide ribosomal RNA is filed under the name Micrommation larocai. RNAcentral describes it as "eukaryotic LSU rRNA". It matches the Rfam family "Eukaryotic large subunit ribosomal RNA", at positions 583 to 787 of the family's 3401-position model. The record is from RNAcentral. Lineage: Eukaryota; Metazoa; Arthropoda; Insecta; Hymenoptera; Halictidae.